UACGUAGGGUGCAAGCGUUGUCCGGAAUUAUUGGGCGUAAAGAGCUCGUAGGCGGUUUGUCGCGUCUGCUGUGAAAACCCGAGGCUCAACCUCGGGCCUGCAGUGGAUACGGGCAGACUAGAGUGCGGUAGGGGAGAUUGGAAUUCCUGGUGUAGCGGUGGAAUGCGCAGAUAUCAGGAGGAACACCAAUGGCGAAGGCAGAUCUCUGGGCCGUAACUGACGCUGAGGAGCGAAAGUGUGGGGAGCAAACGGG
RNAcentral lists this ribosomal RNA (253 nucleotides) under uncultured bacterium. RNAcentral describes it as "partial 16S ribosomal RNA". It matches the Rfam family "Bacterial small subunit ribosomal RNA", at positions 524 to 776 of the family's 1533-position model. The record is from RNAcentral.